RNAcentral lists this ribosomal RNA (253 nucleotides) under uncultured bacterium. Its description in RNAcentral is "partial 16S ribosomal RNA". It matches the Rfam family "Bacterial small subunit ribosomal RNA", at positions 524 to 776 of the family's 1533-position model. The record is from RNAcentral.
UACGUAGGGUCCGAGCGUUGUCCGGAGUUAUUGGGCGUAAAGCGUCCGCAGGUGGCACUUCAAGUCUGUCGUCAAAGACUGGGGCUUAACCCUGGAAAGGCGGUGGAAACUGAAGCGCUAGAGUGCGGUAGGGGUAGAGGGAAUUCACGGUGUAGCGGUGAAAUGCGUAGAGAUCGGGAAGAACAUCGGUGGCGAAAGCGCUCUACUGGACCGCAACUGACACUCAGGGACGAAAGCUAGGGGAGCGAAUGGG